GAUGAACGCUAGCUACAGGCUUAACACAUGCAAGUCGAGGGACCGGCGCACGGGUGAGUAACACGUAUCCAACUUGCCCUUUACUCGGGGCUAGCCUUUCGAAAGAAAGAUUAAUACCCGAUCUAUAGGAUGGGGAUGCGUUCCUUUAGUUUGUUGGUGAGGUAUCGGCUCACCAAGCCUUCGAUGGAUAGGGGUUCUGAGGGGAAGGUCCCCCACAUUGGAAAUGCGCCCCGGUCCAAACUCGGACGGGAGGCAGCAGGUAGGAAGAUUGGGCAAUGGGCGCUAGCCGGAACCAGCCAAGUAGCGGGAAAGAUGUAGACGUAGGGGUGGUAAACUUCUUUUAUAUAAGAAUAUGUAUUAUAUGAAUAAGGAUCGGCUAACUCCGUGCCAGCCGCCGCGGUAAUUC
This 406-nucleotide ribosomal RNA is filed under the name uncultured bacterium. RNAcentral's name for it is "partial 16S ribosomal RNA". It matches the Rfam family "Bacterial small subunit ribosomal RNA", at positions 28 to 526 of the family's 1533-position model. The record is from RNAcentral.